GUCCACGCCUUAACGAUGAAUACUCGAUGUCAGCCCGCAAGGGUUGGUGUCCAAGCUAACGCAUUAAGUAUUCCACCUGGGAAGUACGAUCGCAAGGUUGAAACUCAAAGGAAUUGACGGGCCCGCACAAGCAGUGGAGCAUGUGGUUUAAUUCGAUGCAACGCGAAGAACCUUACCUGGGUUUGAAAAGCUCUGUAAACCGAUGAAAGUCGGGUAGUGUAGCAAUACACGCGGAGUACAGGUGCUGCAUGGCUGUCGU
RNAcentral lists this ribosomal RNA (259 nucleotides) under uncultured bacterium. RNAcentral's name for it is "partial 16S ribosomal RNA". It matches the Rfam family "Bacterial small subunit ribosomal RNA", at positions 793 to 1055 of the family's 1533-position model. The record is from RNAcentral.